Molecule: long non-coding RNA, 3992 nt
Organism: Piliocolobus tephrosceles (Ugandan red Colobus)
Lineage: Eukaryota; Metazoa; Chordata; Mammalia; Primates; Cercopithecidae
Source: Ensembl
UACAGGUGAUGAGUGUUAUUGUAAAGGUAUAUAUGACCUAACAUUAAUACUAGAUGAAUCAGGUAGUAUAGGUAAAAACAGGUGGGAAAAACAAGUUUUUCCAUUUACUACAAAGCUUGUUAAUAAUUUGGAUAUUGCUGCUGAUAAAGUACAUAUUGGAAUAAUGUUAUUUGCUAGACAUAAUAGAGAUUUUAUUACAUUUAAUGAUGAUCAAAGUUCAGAUAAAACAAAGCUAGAGGAAGCAGUUAACAAAGGUUUAAGUAUUUAUCAAGAAGGAGGUGCAACAUAUAUAAAUAAUGCGAUGGAAUAUGCUUUUAAAUUAUACACAAACGAUCCACACAGUAGAUCCUCUGUACCUAAGGUAACUAUAUUAUUUACUGAUGGUAAUGAAUCUUAUCCACAUGAUAAAAAAUUAACUGAAAUUGUUUCCCAAUAUAAAAAUGCACAUGUAAAGUUGUUAGUACUUGGUGUUGGAUUAGCUGAUCCAAAUCGAUUAAGAUUGAUAGGUGGAUGUACUAUAAAAGAUGAUAAUUGUCCUAAUGUUAUAAAAACAGUAUGGGAAAACAUGGAAAAUAUAUCAAAAAUAAUAUAUAAUAAAAUAUGUGACACAGAUGCACCUGAAAAACCACCUAUCACACCUAUUGAAACUGAAAAAGAACCACCCAAUAAACCUAUUAAAACUGAAAAAGAANNNNNNNNNNCCAAUAAACCUAUUAAAACUGAAAAAGAACCACCCAAUAAACCUAUUGAAACUGAAAAAGAACCACCCAAUAAACCUAUUGAAACUGAAAAAGAACCACCCAAUAAACCUAUUGAAACUGAAAAAGAACCACCCAAUAAACCUGGUGAAACUGAUACUAAGCCAGUAACAUGUACAGGUGAUGAGUGUUAUUGUAAAGGUAUAUAUGACCUAACAUUAAUACUAGAUGAAUCAGCUAGGAUAAGUAACAGAAGGUGGGAACAGCAAGUUUUUCCAUUUACUGCAAGACUUGUUAAUAAUUUGGAUGUUGCUGCUGAUAAAGUAAAUGUUGGAAUAAUGUUAUUUGGCACACAUCAUAGAGAUUUUGUUAAAUAUGGUGAUAUAGAGAGUUCAGAUAAAAUAAAGUUAGAAGAAAAAAUAAUUAAAGAAUUAAGUAUUUAUCAUGUUGGAGGUCUUACAUAUAUAAAUAAAUCGAUGGAAUAUGCUUUUGAAGAAUACAUAUACCAUCCAAAAAGUAGACCUCAUGUAUCUAAGGUAACUAUUUUAUUUACUGAUGGUAAUGAAACUCAUCCAGAUAAUAAUAGAUUAUCUAAAAUUCUUUCCAAAUAUGAAAAUGCAAAUGUAAAGUUGUUAGUACUUGGUGUUGGAAACGCUGAUCCAUAUAGAUUAAGAACAAUAGGUGGAUGCAUUGCAACAGAUGCUAGUUGUCCUAAUGUUAUAAAAACAGAAUGGGAAAAUUUGGGAAAUAUAUCAAAAAUAAUAUAUGAUAAAAUAUGUAGCGCAGAUGGACCUGAACCUUCACCUGAAUCAUUUGAACAUAAAUGUGACAAAUCUUUUGAUUUAGCUAUCGUUUUUGAUCAAUCAUCUAAUAUAAGUAAUGAACAGUGGGAAAACUAUGUAAAACCUUUUGCAAUGUCUACGGUUAAAUACCAUCAUUUAUCGCAUAAUACGACACGUGUGACUUUAGUAAAAAUGAGUAACGUAUCUAAAAUGGAAUGGGAUUUAAGCAAAACUAUAAGCUAUGAUAAAAAGAAAAUUAUUAAAAAAAUAAGAAAAAUGUUAACAUCACAUUCAUUUAAAAAAGAUAUAGCCAAUAAUUUAAGGUAUUUAAGAACAGAAGUUUUUGGUAAAUCAUCAAAUAAUAGAAAAAAACAAGUCGUAAUGUUAGUAGAAGGAAAAUCAAAUACUAAUAUGGAUGAACUAAGAAAAGAAGUUGGGUUAUUAAAAAUAGCUAAGAUAAAUUUAUUUGUAUAUGCAAUUGAUACUAUUGACGAAACAGAGUACAAAAUUCUUGGAGAUUGUGAAAGCUCACAUACUAAAUGUAAAAAUAUAUAUAAGGUAUCUUGGGAUAAUUUAUUAUCUACUACAGAAAUACAAAAUGAUUAUAUUUGCAAACAAUAUCCAGAAAAUGCACAGUGUGCUGAAUGGGGAGAAUGGAGUGAUUGUCCUUACUCAGGAAAAUGUCGACAUUAUUACAGCAAAAGAGUAAGAAAUGAAAACAUUUUUACAAUAAAAGAAGCAGAAAUCAAUGAUCAGGGAGUUGGUAGUGAUUGUAAUGAUUUAGGAAGUAAUGUAGAAUACAGAGGAUGUCCUUUAAGAGAUAUAGAUUGUAUAGAUUUUUGUGGUGAAUUUGGUGAAUGGAGUGAAUGUAGUGCUUCAUGCGGUGGUGGUAUUAGAAUAAAAACGAGAAAGUUUCUUGAAUCUAAUAAAACUUGUAAAAAUGCUGAUUUAACUUUAAUAGAAAGUUGUAAUGUUCAAAGUUGUGAUGUUAUUGAGACAUGUAAGGAUAUCGGAGAAUGGGGUGAAUGGUCUACAUGCUCAGAAUCAUGUGGAUAUUCUACAAGAGAAAGAAAUUUUAAUAUUUUAGAUUCAGAUAUUGUGCAACAUAUACAUUGCGCAGAUUAUAAAGAAAAAGAAACAGAGGUAUGUUCAGUUCCAAAAUGUGAUGAUGAAAAAUGCUUUGAAUGGGAAGAUUGGAGCGAAUGGUCUCGACCUUGUGGAACUAGAAAAAGAGUUCAAAGACCCCGCUUGUUAGGAAAUAAUGGUAACAAGAACUAUUCACAUGAAGGACAAAAUGAAAAUUCUUGCGAGGAUAGCUAUGAAAACAAAGUUGAAUAUGAUGAAGGAGAACCAUGUGGUAUAGAUAUGUGUGGACAUUGGUUAGAAUGGUCAGCAUGUAAUAAAACCUGUGGUGUUGGUGUUAGAUUUAGGCGCUUUAUCUCUCAUAUACCAACUUUGUCUGGAGGAGAAAAUGAUGUGUGUUUAGAUUACAUGAAUUUAACUGAAACAGAGCCAUGUUUAAAUUUACCUUUAUGUCAUCCAGGUGAAUGUAAUGAAUGGGAAACUUUUGUUUCUUGUGAGGAUUUAGAAAAAGAAUCAACAUCUUGUCAUAUACCAAAGAAAACAAUACUAACACGAAAAUUAGACUUAUUGACACAUAAGAAAGAAAACGUACCAGAAGAAUGUGUAGAUUAUGGAUAUUUUAAAGAAGAAGAAUGUAAAAAUACAGUUUCUAAAUGCAAUAAUAAUGCUGUAUGUAAUGAAUGGGAAGAAUGGGGAGAUUGUUCAGAACCAUGUGGAACAUCAACAAAAUCUAGAAGAAGAAAAGAACCUUUAGAAUUAAUCCCUGCAACAGUAGAUAGUAAUGGAAAAAUGGGUUUAACUUGUUUGGAACAACAUUUAACAGUUGAAGAGACAAAUGUAUGUGAAGUUCCCAUGUGUUUAUCUACAGAACCAGAGCUCGAAGAUGGACCAAACGACGAUAAUGAACGUAAGCAUCGUUCUAAAAUAACCCAAAGAGUAACUUUAGGUGCCGGUAUUAUAGGGUUAAUACUUUUAGCAGGAGGUGGUGUAGUAUAUGGUUAUAAUGCUUUAAAUGGAGGUGAAAAACCAGAUUCUUCUAACAUGGAAUUUGAAAACGUUGAAAAUGAUAUUGGCGAUCAAGAAGUAAAUGAAGAUUUUGAAGUAAUUGACGCAAAUGAUCCAAUGUGGAAUUAAGCGAUUGUGUUGUUUAAGUAAGAGUAGAUAACACAUAUAGACAAAUAACAUGUGCAUAUAUUUCCGCAAAACGUAUUAAAUUAAAUAUAUUUUCUGCUUUUUUAAUUUAUUUGGUAUUAUAUGUUUUUUUUUUUUUUUUUUUUGUAAACGCUAGUUUUUUUUUGUAAACACUAGUUUUUUUUUGAGUUUUUAUUCGUUUUUUAGUAUUAUCUUUUUUACAUUUUUUUUUUUUUUUAAAUGGUUCAUAAUAUUACUUGUUAUGUGACAUUGUAAAUAAAAUAUGAACACUGUUACA